Molecule: ribosomal RNA, 436 nt
Filed under: uncultured bacterium
Lineage: Bacteria
Description: partial 16S ribosomal RNA
Rfam family: Bacterial small subunit ribosomal RNA
Source: RNAcentral
AGCGAACGCUGGCGGCAGGCUUAACACAUGCAAGUCGAGCGGGCAUCCUUGUGGUGUCAGCGGCAGACGGGUGAGUAACGCGUGGGAACGUGCCCUUCGGUUCGGAAUAACUCAGGGAAACUUGAGCUAAUACCGGAUACGCCCUUUUGGUGAAAGGUUUACUGCCGAAGGAUCGGCCCGCGUCUGAUUAGCUAGUUGGUGAGGUUAUGGCUCACCAAGGCGACGAUCAGUAGCUGGUCUGAGAGGAUGAUCAGCCACACUGGGACUGAGACACGGCCCAGACUCCUACGGGAGGCAGCAGUGGGGAAUAUUGGACAAUGGGGGCAACCCUGAUCCAGCCAUGCCGCGUGAGUGAUGACGGCCUUAGGGUUGUAAAGCUCUUUUCUCCGGGACGAUAAUGACGGUACCGGAGGAAUAAGCCCCGGCUAACUUCGUG